AAUCAAUUAUUUAGAAGAAUGUAUUUUUUUUCUAGAGAUUUAUCCGAUGCGGCGGAGGAUAUUUAUAUAAUUCGGCGGAGGAGAUUUAUCCGAUAUAGCGGAGGAGAUGUCAGGGUUUUUUAUUUUUAUUUUCGAUAAUUUUUUACGGAUAUAAUAAAAAAAUAUUAUUUUUAAUAACGUGGAGCCUCCAUGGAAGAGAAGUUUAAAAAACGUCAUCAAUAUUAAG
This 226-nucleotide long non-coding RNA is filed under the name Linum usitatissimum (flax). Its description in RNAcentral is "long non-coding RNA (LUSI_LNC002614)". The record is from RNAcentral. Lineage: Eukaryota; Viridiplantae; Streptophyta; Magnoliopsida; Malpighiales; Linaceae.